This 503-nucleotide ribosomal RNA is filed under the name Lysinibacillus sphaericus. RNAcentral describes it as "partial 16S ribosomal RNA". Lineage: Bacteria; Bacillati; Bacillota; Bacilli; Caryophanales; Bacillaceae. The record is from RNAcentral.
GGCCGGCCCAAGGGGGAACUUGGGUCCAAUUACACCCAAACCCUUCCCAGGUUUUUCCAUCCCGUUGCCCUGAAAAAACAAGGUUUUCCAUUGGGGGCCCGACCAGUGCCGAAUGGUUUGGCAAGUUCUUCCUUAAAUUAGGUUUAAAGUCCCGAACCAUUUACCUUGAUUAGUUGCCCAUCAAGACUUGGCCCUUUAGGGAUUCCCGGUCAACCUGCAGUAAGGUUGGGAUCACGGUAAAUGUUCAGCCCUAUACAGUCUAGCCGUGCUCAAUGGCGAUCUGGCGUGCACCUCGCGAGAGGGAUAUAUCCGAUAAAUCCGUUCUUCAGUUCGGCAUGUAGGCUGGUCUUUCGAGUACAUGAACCUGAAUCAGAUAGAAUUCGGGAUUACAUCCCGGUGGUGAAUAAGUUAUCCGGGCACUUGUACAUACCGCCGCGUCACGCCACGAAGUUUGAACACGCCGAAGUCGGUGGGGUAACCUUUGUCGACUUCAUCUACACACU